UAAUGAGCUUCUCUUAAAGAACACGCUCAUUAAUUAAUAUACUUUAGUUAAUAAAUAAUCCUUAAUGGACCCCCCCCAAUGAAUGGUUCGGUCCAGAAACUCCUCUAAGGCUCCCCCAUCAAUGAACUUAAUUAAUUAAAAUUAAUUAAUUCGUGUUGAUGAUUGUCACCGUAAUGAGCUUCUCCUAAAGAGCCAGCUCGUUAAUUAAUAUACUUUAAUUAAUAAAUAAGCAACCUCCCCACCCCGCAGGAAUGGUUCGGUCCAGAAAUCCCCUUAAGGCUGCCCGUUAAUGAACAGUGCUAAUUAAUUAAUUAAUUAAUUUCUGUUAAUGACCGCCAGCUUAUGGAGCUUCUGUUAAAGAACAUCCUCGUUAAUUUACAUAUUGUAAUUAAUAGAUUUCCUCCAUUAAUAACCCCCUAAUUAACAGCCCCAUUAAUCGUGUCUAAUUAGCUGUGUUAAUGACUUCCCCAUUAAUUACCCCUAAUUAAUGCUGUUAAUGACUCUCCCUAUUAAUACCCCCCCUCAUUAAUUACCUCCCUAAUUAAUUCCCUGUAAUUACGGCCCGGUGGGUCGAUGAGGGCGCUAAUUAACGCUAAUUAACGCUAAUUAAUUCUGUUAAUUGCAGUGGACUCCAUCUGCCUGCGCUGGGCGCCCCCGAAGCACAAACAGGCCAAGGUGGCCAAGAAGUGAAAUUCCCCUUUUGCCCAAUUUUGCCGUUUUUCACCCCAAAUUUGGGGAUUUUUUCCCUCCAGUUUUGGGGUUUUUCCUCCAAUUUUUGGGUUUUCCCCAAAUUUUUGGGUUUUCCUCUCAAAUUUUGGGGUUUUCUGCCAAAUUUUUGGGGUUUCCCCCUCAGUUUUUGGAUUUUCCCCAAAUUUUGGGGAUUUUCCCUCCCAAAUUUUUGUGUUUUUCCCCCAAAUUUUUGUGUUUUUCCCCCAGAUUUUUGGCUUUUCCCCCCAAAUUUUGGGGUUCCCCAUUUUGGGGUCCCCCCGAUAUUUUGGGGGUCCCCAUUUCCCUCCCCCUCCCCAAUUUUGGGGUCUCCCCCACCCCAAAUAAAGCAGGAAAAGGACGGGGAGGGGUCUCGGAGUUUUUAUUUUUGGGGAAUUUUUUGGGGGGGAAUUUGGGGCUCAAUUUUGGGGUCCCACUCCCAUUUUUGGGGUCCCCACCCCAAUUUUGGCGUUUUC
Molecule: long non-coding RNA, 1181 nt
Filed under: Junco hyemalis (dark-eyed junco)
Lineage: Eukaryota; Metazoa; Chordata; Aves; Passeriformes; Passerellidae
Description: lncRNA (ENSJHYG00000010764.1)
Source: RNAcentral